Molecule: long non-coding RNA, 1428 nt
Filed under: Anser brachyrhynchus (Pink-footed goose)
Lineage: Eukaryota; Metazoa; Chordata; Aves; Anseriformes; Anatidae
Description: lncRNA (ENSABRG00000010421.1)
Source: RNAcentral
AUGGGUGAUGCUGCCAGGGGACGCCAUCCCCAUCAGCCCCCCGAGCUGCUGGGUGGUCACGGAGCCCGUCCCCCCCCAUGGCACCAAGGAGCAGGGAGGUGCCAGCACCCCCACAGCCCUCGGCCUGGCCUUGGCUUAUCCCGGUGGUCCCAGGCCCCGCAGAGCAUCCCUCUGCCGUGGCAGCCCCUGGGGACCCGAAACGCCGGGUCCUCUCGCGCUGCGGCUGCGGCUGGGGGCCAGGGAGCCAUGGCAACCCGGCGAGGAUGGGGGUUGCCAUGGCGACGGGAGGCGCAGCAUCCGGAGCGGCUUUUGGGCGAGGGAUGCUCCAGCAUUUGUCAGCAUCCUGAUACAGAAGCGGACAGCGUCACCGGUAACACCGCCGCGUGCGCCCCACGGCUCUGCGCGGCCCCAGCACGCACCAACCCCGCUGGGUUUUUCCCAAGGGCUCGUCCUCCGCACGACGACCAGCCCAGGAGCCAGGUUGGCAGCCACCCUUCCUCCCUGCGAUGCUCCCAGCACCUCGCGGGCCGGGCCCUUUCCCCCAUGCAGGAAACGUGGCGGGGCUGCGCCGCCAGCGUGUGCCGGCAAAGCGGGCUCGCGAGCGCUCGCAGCAAUUCCAGCCCCGGAGCUUGCGGCUGGGCUUCGCCUCCUAAGCCUGCUUCCAACUUUUUUGUGCUGGGAGAAGAGAUUUGUCUGCAAAUGUAUGUGGUUAAAAUAAACGCCGAGAAUUUUAAUCCUGGGAAUUUGGAAAGUAGGAGAUUUAAAAUAACAAAACCCUUUCAUAUGGCGCUUAAUCCGAAAUUAGGUGGGAUUUUAAGUUUUGUUACGGUGGUGGCUGAUCGUUCCUCGGCCACCUCCUGCUUGCUGCGGGCUGGGGACUGCUUGGAGUGCCCGGGCGGGGGCUGCUGGGGACCGGUGGCUGCCCCCCGGUGCUGGGGGCGGUGAGGGAGAGCGAGCGCUCUUCUUUGUUGACGUGGAAUGGAUCUCCCACAGCUACUUAAGGUUUUAAUUGCCCUGUGAUUAAAGUUUUCAUUACUAAGCAAUUAGCACCUGAAAUUUUAAGUGCUGAAGUGUUUAACUGCAUCCUGAAGCUUGCCAGAGGUGCGGGGUGGUGGAUGUGGGUGGGACGCGAGAGGGUUUUGAAGUGGGGAUGGGGAGCGGCGGGAGACGGCCUCCUUGCUGGGCUGCCACCAGCAGUGCCGGCUGCCCCAUCCCACCCCACUGCCCCCCAUCCCACCCCAUAGCACCCCAUCCCAUCCCACAGCACCCAUCCCGCCCCAUCCAUCCCGCGGGCAGCGCCGCACGGCACAGGGAGGAACGCCCGGAGGGGCGAGCGCCCAGGCAGCCUGGGAAGGAGACAGGCUGGAGCCGGCCCUGACCCGGCGGGAGACGCCGGCUGGGCGAGCUGGCACGGGGCGGCCCUCCCCG